RNAcentral lists this ribosomal RNA (141 nucleotides) under Paenibacillus sp. PastH-3. RNAcentral describes it as "partial 23S ribosomal RNA". It matches the Rfam family "Bacterial large subunit ribosomal RNA", at positions 2777 to 2925 of the family's 2925-position model. The record is from RNAcentral. Lineage: Bacteria; Bacillati; Bacillota; Bacilli; Caryophanales; Paenibacillaceae. RNAcentral also lists the same sequence under 2 other names.
GCAUCUAAGCGUGAAGCCCCCCUCAAGAUGAGAUUUCCCAAUUAGUAAGACCCCUUGAAGACGACGAGGUAGAUAGGUUGGAGGUGGAAGUGCAGCAAUGCAUGGAGCUGACCAAUACUAAUCGGUCGAGGGCUUAUCCUA